This 7042-nucleotide long non-coding RNA is filed under the name Salvia miltiorrhiza (redroot sage). RNAcentral describes it as "long non-coding RNA (SMIL_LNC008806)". Lineage: Eukaryota; Viridiplantae; Streptophyta; Magnoliopsida; Lamiales; Lamiaceae. The record is from RNAcentral.
CCGUCCCAUAAAUAAUGGCCUGUUUUCCUUUUUAGGUUGUCCCACAAAUAAUGGCCUGUUUCCUUUUUUAGUUAUAAUUAACACUUAAUUAAAAUUUUUAAUUAUGCCAACAAAACCCUAAAUCCCUAAUUAUUUCACCCCUCCACCAUAUCAAUUCCACGCCUCCCGUCUCCCAUCUCACUCUACCGCCUCCAUCUUUCCAACUCCACCAUCUCCCAUCUCGCCGGUUCCACCCACCGCCGCCACCCUUCAUUGGUUCGCUCGCCUCAACCCUCCGGCGUGAAAGCCAGAGACGACUACUCGCCGGACUUGUAGCAGUAGCAGCAGUGAAGGCGAAGGCGGCAACGCCUCUUUCUCUCCACCCGCCUCCACCCUCACCUUCUCCACCUGAGCCGCCUUCUCUUCCGACAGCUUCUUCUCCAUUAGCCUUCCCUCCGCUGGUCGCCGGAGUUCUCUCCUCCGCCGCUUUCUUCCACCAACAACACUCAACCUCUGCUUCAACCGCCAAACCCAAGAUCCCUCAAAUCCAGAAACUCUAGCGCCGCCGCCUUCACCGUUCAGAAACUCUAGCGCUGCUCCACCGCCUCUGCCAUCCUCAACCCUCGUUCGUCUCCACUGUCUUCUCUUGCGCCGCCUUCACUGAAAAUCCCCUCCGCCGACCAAGCCAACGCUGCACUUUGCGUCGAGAUCCACGCCGACGACGUCCUCUUACACUGCCUCGACCAGAUCCAGGCCGUCAUCUGGUAGGCGAUGCUCGACCAUCCCCUUCUUCGUGUUAGUUUAGAAGACUUUUUUCCUUCAGAUUUUGGAUGUAAUUUUCGUGUAACAUCUUGGAGUUGGAAAUGUAACAUCUUUUGUUGUUAAUUUUGAUUUGUGUUUUCGGACGUGGAUGUUUCUCUGCUUUUGUUUGUGAGUACUUGGAGUUUGGAUCUGUGAAUGGAUCCAUUUUGUUUGAAAUGUCUUAGAUGAUUUGGGGGUGGAGAGUGAGGGAAGGCGGUGCAGGCGCGCGCCGGCUCGCCGAUGAUGAAAGCGCUGGUGGCAACAACUAGCUAGGGAUGUCAAUCGGGCCAGCCCAUCGGGUUUUUGGGCUAGCCCUAUCGGGUUCUGGGUUAGUCGGGUGCGGGCUAAUCGGGCUGGAGAUUUUUUCGAUUGUAAAUCUUCAACCCUAACCCUAAACGUUCGGGUUUCGGGCUAGCCCAUCGGGCUAAUCAGGUUAAAGGCAUAAAAAUAAAAUUAUCAUUUGUAUUUUAUUAUUCUUAAUGAUCUAAUGUAUAAUGUAUAAAAUAUACAUAGAUAUUAAAGAUAUAAAUUAUAUAGCAAAGCAUGAAAUGCAAAAAUAUAAGAUAUUCAAGAUUACAUAAACAAAAUUAUAUUAAAAUGAGGUAAUAAAAUUUAACAUGUAUCAAUGCACUAGAAUCAAUCUGGAUUAUUACUGAAUAAUUAGUGGAUUUACCAUGCACGUCUCAUUGACAGAAAAAAAAAUGAUAUCACUUUAAAAUGAGAUACUAAUAAUUAAUUUCUAACUAGUGAGAUACUAAUAAUCAAUUUCUACAAAAAAAAUCCGUAAUUAAUUUCACUUUUUUUAAUGAGAUUGCACACACACACACAUAUAUUCUAACUAAUUAAUUUCACAUUUUUUAAUGAGGCUACAUAUAUAUAUUUAAGCAAAUACCAUAGAUCUAAAUAUAGCAGAAGUUGUAACUGGAUGCAUCAGUCACAAUUCCGUCAGCCCACCGGGCCAGCCCAUCGGGUUUUCGGGCUAGCCCUAUCGGGUUCCGGGUUAGUCGGGUGCGGGCUAAUCGGGCUGGAGGUUUUUUCGGGUUGCAAUUUUUCAACCCUAACCCUCUAAUUUUGUCGGGUUAUUCGGGUCGGCCCACGGGUUUCGGGCUGCAUUGACAUCCCUAGCAACAACAACUAAUUUUGGAGGAAGAAAUGUUAUUUUAUUAACAUUAUUUAAAACUAAUUAACCAUUAAUUAAAUAUGUGGGGCAUACAACUUAUCUACUAAUAUAACUGUCAUCAAUCUUCGUGCCCAAAAGAAACGGGCCAUUAUUUUUGGGACGGAGGGAGUAUUAACUAACAAAAAUAAAAUUAAAUAAUAAAAAAUUAUUAUAUGCUCCUAUUUGGAUGAUAUAAAUCUCAGUAAAUAAUUAUAAAAUUAGAUUAAAGUAUAUAAAAUUGAAAUUGAAAAAAAAAGAUAAAAUUAAAUUAAAAAAAAUGAAAUUGGAAAAAAGAUCAAAUAAAAUUUAAAAAAUUGAAAAUAUAACAUAAAGUGGGCUAAUAAUACAGUAAAUAUAAUACAUAGAUUGCAAGUCCAUUUUGCUUUGCUCUGUAUAGACUGUAUUAUUGAUAUCGUCUGAAACAAUCGACAUUGCUCAGACUGCAAGCAAAUACUAUGUUUCUACAAAUUCUAGAAACAUAGAGGAUCUUGAAAUCAAUAGCUCUCACAUGCACUAUAAGGAUAUACAUACCUUUCUCCAUUGUUGUACUUGUGUUGCUUGAUGAAUAAAACUAGAGUUUCUCUUCCUUGACCAUUCCGUUCUGCUAUCUGCGUAAGUGAUGGUUUUAUUUUGAGAUACACCUUAAUGUCAGGAAGAGGAUCUAGUUAUAUAUAUGUUUGGCUUAGUGGGCUUUUGAUCCCUUAAAUCUGCUAUGUCCAUCAAAUAGCAGCUAUAAGUAUUUAAUUGCUCCAACAGGCCCAAUUAACAAGUUAGCCCAAUUAUUUAUUUAUCAGUCCAAAAGUCACUUGAUACACAAAUUGUCUUACACAGACUUCUUAUUGCUAAAAAAAAUGUGCACAAAUUGCAGAAACGUGAGAGAAAAAAAAAAAAAAAAGAGCGGACUGCUACGCACAAAUUUGUAUAUUUGGAAUUAGUAUUUUAAUUAGAAUAUGACAUGGAAUUUAAUUAAAUAAUUUAAAAAUGAAUUUUUUAGGGAAAUUAAAAAAAUAACUUAGGAAGUUAUUUAGUCAACUGAAAAAUUAUUAGUUACAUUAAAUACGGAUUGAAGAUAUCAAUCAUAUGAGUAGUGGAUCUAUCAAAGAUUCAAAAUCAAACAAAUUGAAUAAACUGAAAAAUAAAGUAUAAAAGUACAAGAACUUCAGCAUGUGUUUUGAAUAAUUUUUUAAAUUAUUAUCAUGUUUAUUAUUAAGUUAAACUCAUCAAUGUAAUGAUUAAUCAUAUCAUAUUAUACCAUAUUACAAUAACUAAUUCAAUUACUGUUCGCUAUUUUAUUAACACGCCGCAAGUGUACGGGUGCAAUUGUGUACAGUAGCAAGCAAGGUCGUAUUCCACAGAGACUGAAUUUAUCAAUUCUUAUCCUAAAUUAUUCUACUCUAUCUGAACAAACGAAAUUGAGAGUUUUGGUUUUGAAAACAAAAUAAAUAAAUAAAUGACAGGAAACAAAAUAAAUCAAGCUGCGAAAAUACGGAGAAACAGAUAAGAGAAGAAUUCCCAAGGUAAAGGUUUCAACAGAUUCUCCUAACUAACAUGUUCAAUUCAAUUAAUAAGACGAUUCCUAAGGCAAUCUCAAAAUUAGUCUAUACCCACUCCCGUGGCAUACAAACCGUUGAUUACAUGCAAGGCUACUGUCCCCAGAUCGCAAUUCUAACAUGUAACUCCUAAAAGUCCCUAGGAUUAACGCCCUCACAGUUAUCAAUUCCCUUUAAAAUUAAAAUAAAUAUGUUCUAUGUUCUUAGUUCAGGUAAUAAUUAUCAUCUCCCGAUAUCAAAUUAAAACCUAUGAUUAUGCUAAAUUGGCGGCCAAUCAAUAAAGCAAACAAUUAUAACAAGAACAUAAAAAGGAAUAACAAUCUCAAUUAAUCGAAUCAAACAGUCAAAAAUUCAAAUCAUAUCUAUUCCCUAAACCCUGGGAAAAAGGGAUUCUAGCCACACAUAGACAUAUGAACUAGAAUCAAUAUCUCAAUAAAACAGAAAAACAUUCAACAAUAAAACCAUCGUGAAAUCGAGAAUCUUCAAUCUUGCUCUGUCUUCGUUCUCCGUCUCUCUCAGCUCUCAGGGAAAGGAAAAUAUGAUGAAAGGUGAUAAAAAGUUGCAGAGAAUAAGUUCUUGGGGAGUAUUUAUAUGCCCUAGGUCUUGUAGCUCUCAAAAAUACCCAAAAUCGCUAAAAAAAACGAAUUUUGGGCGGAAAUACGGCGACUCGCGCGGCCACGUCGCGCGGCCGCAUGGCUGGCCCGCGUGACGAAACAAAACUCCUGACAGCUUUGCGCAGCGAUUUUGUUUUGGCUCGUUCUCCCUCGUCCGAACUCCGAUUUAUGAUACGUUUGCGCUCACGAACUCCUAUCGAGACGAACUACAACUUGUAUUUCAUCCAAUUCUUCCAAAUUCCGCUUCAUUAUUUCUGAAAAUUCGUUCAAACACAAGCAAGUAACAAGUUCUUGACCAUAAACGAUAUAAGCUCAAAUAGACCAUCAAAACACACAAAAUCCUCACAACUAUGCAUAAAAAAAUGACACACCAAGAAGUAAAAAAUGCAUGUUUAUCAACCCCCCAAACUUGAACUAAUUGUCCGUCCUCGGACAAAACAAAGAUGAACCAAGAAAUGAAUCAACAAAGAGACGCAGAGAAAAGUAGAUAACAUUGUGGCUUUCAGAUUUUGUACAACAAAAAAUAACAUAGUUAUUUAGUAUCUUCUAUCAUCAAGAUAUCACACUCAUGACAAACUUCAAAUUAUGGUCUCAAUGACUUGCAAUCCUCACCAAAAAGAUAAAGAAUUUAAGAUCUCUCGACUCUCAAGUGUAUCAAUCAACAUGGACGUGUAUACGCUCAGUUCAAGCAAAACAAGUACUCAACUAUAAGCUUGUCAAUCGUCUCACCUCUCCACCACUCAAUGGGUGCUCCUAUAACCAAGAUCAAAAAGGUCUUUAUUGAGGGUUGUAAUGUAGGCUCUUUGGUAGGGUAGGAUAUGUUUGGCUAAGUGACUAAAAGAUACGAAUCAAAUAAACACCAUCACCAACCUUAUAGCAUUCUACUCAAUUCUAUCCUCACCUCUCAUAAAACCAAAUUUUUCAAUAUAUAAUCCACCACAACACAUCAAUUAUUUCUCAUGACGUUAUGACUUUCUAAUGCAUCCUAUGUACCUUCUUUUUUUUCUUUUUUUCUUUUUUUUUUCAACAACUAGUAGGGUACUAGGAUUUUCAAUUUAAAACCACAAAACAUAACUCAUGAUCAUUCAUCUCCACAACCAACUAUUCCAAUCAAAUAUCUCCAAGCUCCCACCCAUAGCUAAAUCAAAGAAUAUGGAAAAAUAAGGCUCAAAGGGGGUGAACUAGGAUCAUAUAAAGAUAUAGGACAAAUAAGGGAUAAAUAGGCAAGCAAAGAUGGCCUUCUAUCAUCUCAAAGUUAUUAAGCACACUAUGUGACCUCGAGGGAGAAACCAAGACAAGUUCUAGUGAGAACAUGCAUGCUCGAACAAUCACUCAAGAAUAAGAAUAAGACUGUAAAAUGGUGACAGUCAAGGCUCAAAACUCACAGCUUAUUUCAUUGCAAAACAUAGAGACCACGCUUAUCAUUCAUCAAUCAUGCUCAAUCUCAACAAUAUCAACACAAAUUGCAUGCAAAUCCAAAAUUUUAAAGCAGAAAUCAUCAUAAGCCAGUUAUCCAACAAAACUCUACACAACUCACAUCAUCAUCAAAGCACAUCACAAAGAAACCACCAAAGCAAGACUAAACAACUCAACGACAAAACAAACAAGAACAACCAAAGAAAAAAAUGCACCCACAAAGACACAUCCCCCCAAACUUAUUCAACACCAAGGAGAAUAAGUUUGAAAAGGAAUUGUAGGGACACAAAAAAAACCAACAAACAAAAAGAAACGAACUAACCAAAAUUGGGUUGCCUCCCAACAAGCGCUAUUUUUAACGUCGUUAGCUCGACGAUCCAGCAGGUGUAGGUGGUGGCCAUUUUUCAUCAAAUUUGAGUACAUCAUCUGUUGUGAACCAAUGAUAAGGUGGUUUUCCAACCUUCAAAAUUUCUUGAAAACUAUGGCCAUCCUGUGAACAAUCAAAAGUACUACCACACUCCAAAAAAUGUGUUCAUCAGAUGAAUCAAAAUUAAAAUCAAAAGAUGGAGUUAGAUAAAAGCUAAAGAGACAAGCCUUCAAUGAUUUUCCUUGGUCGAUGCAAGUGUCAACUACAUUUUGGACAUCGCGCUCUUCAACACUUUUAAAAUUCUCAUCCUUCAAGCUCAUCUCAACUUUCAGAACUUCUUGCUCUUCUUCCAUCGCUUGAGGCUCUUCAUAUGAUGUAUCACUUUCGAGCUCAAUGGUCAUACACUGCUCUUUUGGAUUCACCACGGUAUUGCUUAGGAAUUGGCCCGACUGAUAUAGAUUGCUAAUAGCAGUGGCUAUUUGAGUCAUCUGAGUCUCAAACACCUUCAUCCGGGUCCCUAAAGCAGCAGUGGUAGACUCAAGCUUCUCCAUCCUCUCCUCCGACUUGGAGAUAAAUUUCAUCAUCAACUCUUCCAAAUUAGGCUUCUUCUCCUCAUUGAUGAUUUCAUUGGUGACAGAGAAGCCUGGUGGAGCCUGAAGCGCGUUAUUCGGGCACCCUCCAUGAUAGAACUAUUGCCAACUCUGAUUGGUUCCCUGUUGUACUCUUUGAAAUCCACCCUGCUGAAAAUUCCUGAAAUUCCAAUUGCUGACAAAAUUUGCCUCUUCCAUCAUCAUCGGAUUUUUCACAGCUGACUCCAUCUUAGCAAUACUCAAAGCAUUUAUCUUGGAAAACAAUGCAGCGAUAAAUUGAAGAUAGACGAAUUCAAGUAAUUGAAUUACCAACGUCUCAUAUUAUAAUGUACUCCCUCCGUCCCACGAAGCAUGACACAGUUUUCUUUUUGGUCNCACCAUCUCCCAUCUCGCCGGUUCCACCCACCGCCGCCGCCCUUUAUCGGUUCGCUCGCCUCAACCCUCCGGCGAAGGCACGACGAAAGCCAGAGACGACUACUCGCCAGACUUGUAGCAGCAGCGAAGGCGGCAACGCCUCUUUCUCUCUACCCGUCUCCACCCUCACCUUCUCCACCUGAGCCGCAUUC